AUUCUCACGGCUGCCCAUAUAGACCAAGAGAAUGCAGUCAAUAUUGCCGGAGUGUAGGUGGCUAUGCACGGGGACACUGCAGCUUCCUCGUCAUCUGGCUUUGUCUGUGCGAUACUACACACGCUUUAACUUCAACAGGUGAACAUGACUCAAACAAGCCCACCGAAAACGGACAUGGCUGCCCACACAUGCCUGUUGAAUGUGACAACUACUGCCGACACAGUCUCGGCUACCCAAUGGGGGGAAUGUGCAACGUUCUUGUGCCAAAUAUGUGCGUGUGCAACGUUCAAGGACGUGCAUUAGAAUCCGAGUAGCACAGCAUUUUCCCCAUCUCUGACUGGUCUUAUCAGCAUCACCGCUUUUGUAUCACAGCGCACGACGCACGAGCAAUAAUGUUGACUCAAUGUUCUUUAUGCAGUUUUGACUUUGACUGGCAGACCUAUAACUUAGCCAUUAUAGCGCUCAUUACAAAAUGAUCGUCACGCAACUUCAUAUAGACACAGCAGCACGUCGCCAAAAAUAGUAUCAACGCUGAUGUAUGCAAAUCCCAGCCACUCCAACUCAAGCACAGCGAAGCUAUGGAAGAGAAUUCUCAAGCCAUUCCGAGGUCCGAAGGGUCUGAUUUACCACUGACCGAAAUCUUCCCAAGCCUUUGCAAAUGUUUCACUGUAUCCAGUACAAUUACUUCGCUGAAACUGA
Long non-coding RNA from Dermacentor silvarum, 699 nucleotides. RefSeq lists it as uncharacterized. The record is from RefSeq and is a predicted model, not a curated record. The transcript is spliced from 3 exons. NCBI's taxonomy places the organism in Eukaryota, Metazoa, Arthropoda, Arachnida, Ixodida, Ixodidae.